This is an RNA transcript of Phoenix dactylifera (date palm), 3968 nucleotides long. It is a transcript of the gene named RNA-binding (RRM/RBD/RNP motifs) family protein, with no coding region annotated. Lineage: Eukaryota; Viridiplantae; Streptophyta; Magnoliopsida; Arecales; Arecaceae. The record is from RefSeq and is a predicted model, not a curated record.
UUCCAACCUCUCUUCUCUCCAUUCCCCUUCCAAGUCAAAAGAGAAAAAAGGGAAAAAGAAGGCGAGACAGCGGCAUCCGCUAAACCCCAAAUCUGUGCGUCGGCCGCCGCCCGCCGCCGGACGGAUCCGGCCAUCUCUCGAGAAAAGAAAAACAAGAAGGCAAGAAGACGAAAAAUAGGGAAAAAAAGAAGAAGAAAGAUAGAGACGAGAGAGAGAGAGAGAGGCAAUUUUUCAUCAAGAACUUCAAUAGGUAGGGUUUCGGAGAUUUCGUUUACCAGUUGAUUUUUGCUGGACGGUAUAGUGUUUAUGGAUCCUAUGAUGGAAGAGCAGUUGGAUUAUGGGGAUGAGGAGUAUGGGGGAAGCCAGAAAUUGCAGUACCAGGGAAGUGGAGGAGCGAUCCCGGCAAUUGCAGAGGAGGAGAUGAUGGGGGAGGAUGAUGAGUAUGAUGAUCUCUAUAAUGAUGUCAACAUUGGUGAGGAUUUCAUGCAGACCAUGCAGCAAAGGCGCGAGCCACCUGUUUCUCUCAGCAAUGGUGGAUUACUUAACCAGAAGACAGAUGGCCCUGGUUCAGCCACUCCCCAGAUGGGAGGCCAGGCCAGUGUGAGCAUCGCAGGACUUGGGGAGGAAGGGAAGGAGCUGAAGCCUGCUUAUGGGCCCCUGGAAACUGAGCAGAAGUCUGGUGGGUUGCUUGCUAGAAAGGGAUUGGAAGAGGGGAGUGGUGAUUUUCCUGAAGGGUUUUCUCAUCAAGGAAGUAAGGCUCCAGAGACUGUCCAAGAGAGUAAUGUAGGGAAUGCUGGGUUUCAUGGAAAUUCUGCAGCACCUUCGCCACCAAAACCUGGUAUGGAUCCCAAGUAUGCUGGUGGGCCUUUGUCACUAACAUCAGAUUCGGCGAGAAGUGGUGUCAGGAACCCCCAGCCGGUGCCUGUGAAUCAGGCAGUAACAACUGCCGCAUACCAUGUGGUGAUGAAUGAUAAUUCAAGGUCAGGAAUGGGAUUGGUGGGUAAUGAUGGCGCAGCCAUGCUCGUUGUGGGGGACCUGCACUGGUGGACAACUGAUGCUCAGCUUGAGAGUGUGAUGUCGCAGUAUGGGAGGGUGAAGGAGAUCAAGUUCUUUGAAGAGAGAGCUAGUGGGAAGUCGAAGGGUUACUGUCAGGUUGAGUUCUAUGAUGCUACAGCUGCAGCUGCCUGUAAGGAAGGAAUGUAUGGUCAUGCUUUUAAUGGGCGAACUUGUGUGGUGGAAUAUGCUUCUCCUCAGAUUUUGAAGCAGAUGGGUGCAGCUUAUACGAGCAGACAAUCUCAAGCACAACCUCAGCAACAGGGAAGGAGGCAGAUGAAUAGUGGGAUGGGUAGAGGUGGUGGAUGGGGUGGUCGAGGUGGACAGGGACCGCCCAACAGGGGUCAAGGCAAUGCUGGGCCCAUGAGGGGAAGGGGAGCUAUGGGUGCAAAAGGAAUGGGGGGGCCUGGUGGUGGAUUUGGGACUGGGGCCACUGGUGGCCCAUAUGGGCCUGCAGGAGGGAUGAUGCACCCGCAGGGAAUGAUGGGUGCAGCAUUUGACCCGACAUACAUGGGUGGAGGCGGCCCUUAUGGAGGCUUUUCUGGUCCUGCUUUUCCUGGGAUGAUGCCUCCUUUCCAAGCAGUGAGCAGUGUUGGCCUUCCCGGAGUGGCACCUCAUGUUAACCCAGCUUUCUUUGGCCGUGGGAUGUCUGGAAAUGCAAUGGGAAUGAUGGGUGGCAAUGGGAUGGAAGGGCAUUCUGCAGGGAUGUGGACUGAUAUGGGCAUAGGUGGGUGGACAGGGGAGGAUCAUGGAAGAAGGACAAGGGAAUCAAGUUAUGGUGGUGAUGAUGUUGCUGCUGACUAUGGCUAUGGGGAGGUGAACAAUGAGAGAGUUGAGAGAUCAAAUGCAUCUCGAGAGAAGGAAAGAGGUUCAGAGCGGGACUGGUCAGGGAGCUCUGAGAGGAGGUAUCGUGAUGAGAGGGAAAAAGAGCGGGACAGGUCUGAUAAGGAACGAUACAGGGAGGAGAAAGACAGGUAUAUGGACCAUAGGCAGAGGGAUAGAGAUUGGGAUAACGAAGGUGACUGGGAUGGAGGGCAUUCUUCUUCCAGGUCUCGAAACAAGUCACGGACGGUGCAAGAAGAAUAUUACAGGUCUCACUCUAGGGAUGCGGACUAUGGAAAAAGACGUCGCCUACCUUCGGAUUGAAGGAUGUUUUCAAAGAACUGAUGACGGCAACUGGUUUCAUAUUCCUGGGGUCAAUCUUGGGUGCUGACUGCUGCUUGCCACUACUCUCGCUGCUAAUGGUUGGUACCGCAUGCAGGCUAGCCCCUGGGAUGAAAAUUCAAGGAAGACACCACUGGUCAAAUUUGAUACUUGACUGCUAAUGGAGCUUAUUAAAUCAGUCCUAGAUGAAAUUAAAUACAUGUUGGUGUAUUCAAUAGCUACAUAAGGUGGAUGGUUUCUAAUUUUAUUGUUGCUAUUUGGAGCACGGGCUGAGGAGACAACAUUCAUUCCUGUAGGCAUAGCUUGUGUCACUAGGAUAUGUGGCUUCUAGUUGUAUUCAAAACCUCAUGACAUUUCAGCCAUGACUGCAUUUGUAUUCUUGGAAGAUAGUUUCUCUACAUGCUCAAAUUGUAAAUUAUGUAAAAUUUUGUAACCAGCAUAGUAUGAAAAAAAUCUGGGUUUGGAGUUGUAUCAUUUUGGGAUUUUGGGUAUUUAGUUGUGUCUGGAGUUCUAUAUGCAAAUCCCAGUUGCAUUGUACAUCAGGUAGGAGUCACCUGGAUGCCACUAUGGGAGCAUGUGGCUGACAUUUGGCUUGUUUGGUGGUUUUUCCACUACUCAACUCUUCUAUUUCUAUGUUGAUUAGGGUCCAUUUCUGAAAUUUUUUUGUAUAUUUGACCCUCAACCAAACAUCAUUUGUCAAGCAAGUUCUUGCUCAUAAUACAGUGUAACAGGGAGAAUACCCUAUGAUUUGUAAUUGCAGAUAAGCUUUUAUUUUUUAUUUUUUAUUAUCCUCCCCCCUUCCAAGUGAUUUGCACUUGCUCAUGUAUUAAAAUUGCUUCUAAUUGAUUUUUUAACAUUUGAAACACUUGAUGUAGCAAAAAAAAACACUUGGUUUUUGUUAAACCAUGCCAUUGGAUUUUUUUUUGAAAUGGAUAUGCAUUAUCUGUUUUGUACUUUGCGUGACGUUCAAUAUCAAAAACUUUUGAAUAUGAAAUUCUAAAAGAUUUUGGCUGCAAGAAAAUGCAACAUCCAGCCGUUACAUGGGUCUACUUCCUUUUGGGUAUCUGUGUAUUCGAACCUUUUAUUAUGAAUGCUUGUCAAGAUGAUGUUUCUUUCUUUGUCCUAUAUGUUGUAUUAUGCUCUGUAUCAAUCUGGAAGAUCCUUGGGAUUGUAUUAGGAUAAAUAGUGUUGUAAAAGGUAAUGCAGUCAUGUUGGUUCUUGGUCCUUUUUUUUCUUGUAUGUGGGGGGUGGGUGUAAGAGUGGGUAUUUGAAUGUAUUAAUAGCAAGUUGCAAGCUCUUGUCAAGCUUCAUCGGCGUAGUUUCUGAAUCAAGUUAAUUAAUGAUUGGAGGUCGAAGUGCAUUUGUUCAUCCAAACGUAGCUGGUUUCGAGGAAGUUUCCUGACCAGCAGAUUCAUCAUUGAUUAUUGAAGUCCUUUGCAGUCUGCUGCGUGAUCCAUAUACUGUGCAUCUUUGAUUUGAAGACUUAAAUGUAUAUAGUCUGCUUUUGUUACAGCUGCAUCAUUUUUUGGGUUUUCGAGGUAUUGCUGUCCCUUUGCCAUGUUUCUGUUCUUGGUUACGAAGGGAGCUCAGUGUUUUGCGAUUGAACAAUCCUUAGCUCUUGUAUUUUGAUCUUAUUGUGCUGCCAUCCCCUCCUCUUUUUUUAUUUAUUUUUGUAGAAGGGAUUUUAUUGCCCCUUGAUGUACUCAUGUUGUUGCUGAAAAUGUUAUUUGACCAUCCGUCAUUUGAGGUCA